This 1027-nucleotide ribosomal RNA is filed under the name Haloferax volcanii. RNAcentral's name for it is "bacterial SSU rRNA". It matches the Rfam family "Archaeal small subunit ribosomal RNA", at positions 1 to 1026 of the family's 1478-position model. The record is from RNAcentral. Lineage: Archaea; Methanobacteriati; Methanobacteriota; Halobacteria; Halobacteriales; Haloferacaceae.
AUUCCGGUUGAUCCUGCCGGAGGUCAUUGCUAUUGGGGUCCGAUUUAGCCAUGCUAGUUGCACGAGUUCAUACUCGUGGCGAAAAGCUCAGUAACACGUGGCCAAACUACCCUACAGAGAACGAUAACCUCGGGAAACUGAGGCUAAUAGUUCAUACGGGAGUCAUGCUGGAAUGCCGACUCCCCGAAACGCUCAGGCGCUGUAGGAUGUGGCUGCGGCCGAUUAGGUAGACGGUGGGGUAACGGCCCACCGUGCCGAUAAUCGGUACGGGUUGUGAGAGCAAGAGCCCGGAGACGGAAUCUGAGACAAGAUUACCGGGCCCUACGGGGCGCAGCAGGCGCGAAACCUUUCACUGCACGCAAGUGCGAUAAGGGGACCCCAAGUGCGAGGGCAUAUAGUCCUCGCUUUUCACGACUGUAAGGCGGUCGUGGAAUAAGAGCUGGGCAAGAGCGGUGCCAGCCGCCGCGGUAAUACCGGCAGCUCAAGUGAUGACCGAUAUUAUUGGGCCUAAAGCGUCCGUAGCCGGCCAACGAAGGUUCAUCGGGAAAUCCGCCAGCUCACUGGCGGGCGUCCGGUGAAAACCACGUGGCUUGGGACCGGAAGGCUCGAGGGGUACGUCCGGGGUAGGAGUGAAAUCCCGUAAUCCUGGACGGACCACCGAUGGCGAAAGCACCUCGAGAAGACGGAUCCGACGGUGAGGGACGAAAGCUAGGGUCUCGAACCGGAUUAGAUACCCGGGUAGUCCUAGCUGUAAACGAUGCUCGCUAGGUGUGACACAGGCUACGAGCCUGUGUUGUGCCGUAGGGAAGCCGAGAAGCGAGCCGCCUGGGAAGUACGUCCGCAAGGAUGAAACUUAAAGGAAUUGGCGGGGGAGCACUACAACCGGAGGAGCCUGCGGUUUAAUUGGACUCAACGCCGGACAUCUCACCAGCUCCGACUACAGUGAUGACGAUCAGGUUGAUGACCUUAUCACGACGCUGUAGAGAGGAGGUGCAUGGCCGCCGUCAGCUCGUACCGUGAGGCGUCC